ACGAACGCUGGCGGCAGGCCUAACACAUGCAAGUCGAGCGCCCUUUCGGGGGAGCGGCGGACGGGUGAGUAACGCGUGGGAAUAUGCCCUUCUCUACGGAAUAGCCUCGGGGAACUGAGAGUAAUACCGUAUACGCCCUUUGGGGGAAAGAUUUAUCGGGGAAGGAUUAGCCCGCGUUGGAUUAGGUAGUUGGUGGGGUAAUGGCCUACCAAGCCGACGAUCCAUAGCUGGUUUGAGAGGAUGAUCAGCCACACUGGGACUGAGACACGGCCCAGACUCCUACGGGAGGCAGCAGUGGGGAAUCUUAGACAAUGGGGGCAACCCUGAUCUAGCCAUGCCGCGUGAGUGAUGAAGGCCUUAGGGUUGUAAAGCUCUUUCAGCUGGGAAGAUAAUGACGGUACCAGCAGAAGAAGCCCCGGCUAACUCCGUG
Molecule: ribosomal RNA, 430 nt
Filed under: uncultured bacterium
Lineage: Bacteria
Description: partial 16S ribosomal RNA
Rfam family: Bacterial small subunit ribosomal RNA
Source: RNAcentral